This 105-nucleotide microRNA precursor is filed under the name Canis lupus familiaris (dog). Its description in RNAcentral is "mir-8834 microRNA precursor family". It matches the Rfam family "mir-8834 microRNA precursor family". Lineage: Eukaryota; Metazoa; Chordata; Mammalia; Carnivora; Canidae. The record is from Rfam by way of RNAcentral.
AGGAGGAACAACUCCAGUGGGUGCGGCAGCUCUGGAGCCCUGGAUUCAGCCCCCGCAGUAGCUCCAGAGCUCUCAGUCCGCAGGGCCUGGAGGCUCCGGGGCGGG